This 87-nucleotide transfer RNA is filed under the name Sarcina sp. RNAcentral's name for it is "tRNA-Ser". It matches the Rfam family "tRNA". From Rfam's summary of the family: Transfer RNA (tRNA) molecules are approximately 80 nucleotides in length. Their secondary structure includes four short double-helical elements and three loops (D, anti-codon, and T loops). Lineage: Bacteria; Bacillati; Bacillota; Clostridia; Eubacteriales; Clostridiaceae. The record is from RNAcentral. RNAcentral also lists the same sequence under 1 other name.
GCUGUGAUGCCGCAACAGGUACCGGGCCGGUCUUGAAAACCGGUGAUCCGUGGAAACGGGCUGGGGGUUCAAAUCCCUCUCACAGCG